UGGGGAAUAUUGGACAAUGGGGGCAACCCUGAUCCAGCCAUGCCGCGUGUGUGAAGAAGGCCUUUUGGUUGUAAAGCACUUUAAGCGAGGAGGAGGCUACCUGUAUUAAUACUAUAGGCUAGUGGACGUUACUCGCAGAAUAAGCACCGGCUAACUCUGUGCCAGCAGCCGCGGUAAUACAGAGGGUGCGAGCGUUAAUCGGAAUUACUGGGCGUAAAGCGCGCGUAGGCGGUUUGUUAAGUCGGAUGUGAAAUCCCCGGGCUCAACCUGGGAAUUGCAUUCGAUACUGGCAAGCUAGAGUAUGGGAGAGGAAGGUAGAAUUCCAGGUGUAGCGGUGAAAUGCGUAGAGAUCUGGAGGAAUACCGAUGGCGAAGGCAGCCUUCUGGCCUAAUACUGGCGCUGAGGUGCGAAAGCAUGGGGAGCAAACAGGAUUAGAUACCCCGGUAGUCCCUGAGCGGGCUGGCAAGGCGCAU
This 473-nucleotide ribosomal RNA is filed under the name uncultured bacterium. Its description in RNAcentral is "bacterial SSU rRNA". It matches the Rfam family "Bacterial small subunit ribosomal RNA", at positions 355 to 825 of the family's 1533-position model. The record is from RNAcentral.